GUCGUCAGCUCGUGUCGUGAGAUGUUGGGUUAAGUCCCGCAACGAGCGCAACCCUUGUCAUUAGUUGCUACAUUCAGUUGGGCACUCUAAUGAGACUGCCGGUGACAAACCGGAGGAAGGUGGGGAUGACGUCAAGUCCUCAUGGCCCUUAUAGGUGGGGCUACACACGUCAUACAAUGGAUGGUACAAAGGGUCGCCAACCCGCGAGGGGGAGCCAAUCCCAUAAAGCCAUUCGUAGUCCGGAUCGCAGUCUGCAACUCGACUGCGUGAAGUCGGAAUCGCUAGUAAUCGUGGAUCAGAAUGUCACGGUGAAUACGUUCCCGGGUCUU
Molecule: ribosomal RNA, 329 nt
Filed under: uncultured Acidovorax sp.
Lineage: Bacteria; Pseudomonadati; Pseudomonadota; Betaproteobacteria; Burkholderiales; Comamonadaceae
Description: bacterial SSU rRNA
Rfam family: Bacterial small subunit ribosomal RNA
Source: RNAcentral